This is a non-coding RNA of Potamilus streckersoni, 71 nucleotides long. The record is from the annotation of a GenBank genome assembly. NCBI's taxonomy places the organism in Eukaryota, Metazoa, Mollusca, Bivalvia, Unionida, Unionidae.
AGAUGGCCUAGUGGUUAGAGCUUCCGCCUGAGAUGCGAAAGAUCGAUUGUUCGAUCGCCAGUCGAGCUAUA